GGCGGUUCUCAGGUGACGCACCCUGGAAUUGGGCUCCCUCCUCUCUGGUUCCGGGUGCAUCACCUGAGAACCAAA
Molecule: microRNA precursor, 75 nt
Organism: Myotis lucifugus (little brown bat)
Lineage: Eukaryota; Metazoa; Chordata; Mammalia; Chiroptera; Vespertilionidae
Rfam family: mir-9223 microRNA precursor family
Source: Rfam